GACAGCAGCAGCCGCGGUAAUACCGAGGGUGCGAGCGUUAAUCGGAUUUACUGGGCGUAAAGCGUGCGUAGGCGGCUUCUUAAGUCGGAUGUGAAAUCCCUGAGCUUAACUUAGGAAUUGCAUUCGAUACUGGGAAGCUAGAGUAUGGGAGAGGAUGGUAGAAUUCCAGGUGUAGCGGUGAAAUGCGUAGAGAUCUGGAGGAAUACCGAUGGCGAAGGCAGCCAUCUGGCCUAAUACUGACGCUGAGGUACGAAAGCAUGGGGAGCAAACAGGAUUAGAUACCCGUGUAGUCCCUGUCUCUUAUAC
RNAcentral lists this ribosomal RNA (306 nucleotides) under uncultured bacterium. RNAcentral's name for it is "partial 16S ribosomal RNA". It matches the Rfam family "Bacterial small subunit ribosomal RNA", at positions 504 to 807 of the family's 1533-position model. The record is from RNAcentral.